Pelobates cultripes (western spadefoot toad) is the source of this 233-nucleotide non-coding RNA. Lineage: Eukaryota; Metazoa; Chordata; Amphibia; Anura; Pelobatidae. The record is from the annotation of a GenBank genome assembly.
GUGUACUUUGCUGCCUGCACUCCCUGUUUCCAGGAGCCCUUCCUUCAAUACAUGUGAUAUGUAACUAAAGAACUUAAUCAAUAGUAGGAUCAGGACUGCAGUGGAAACAGAAUCGAAUAGGUAUAAUAGAAAACUUUCCAAGGAUGCUUAUAGCAGUAAGAAUUUGAUACAAAUGCGAUAAUUGUAUCCAAUUUUGAGAGAUUGUAUCAGCUUAUUGUCAGACUAUCACAAAC